This 207-nucleotide ribosomal RNA is filed under the name uncultured bacterium. RNAcentral's name for it is "partial 16S ribosomal RNA". It matches the Rfam family "Bacterial small subunit ribosomal RNA", at positions 568 to 774 of the family's 1533-position model. The record is from RNAcentral.
CACGUAGGCGGCUUUUUAAGUCAGGGGUGAAAUCCUGGAGCUCAACUCCAGAACUGCCUUUGAUACUGAGAAGCUUGAGUCCGGGAGAGGUGAGUGGAACUGCGAGUGUAGAGGUGAAAUUCGUAGAUAUUCGCAAGAACACCAGUGGCGAAGGCGGCUCACUGGCCCGGUACUGACGCUGAGGUGCGAAAGCGUGGGGAGCAAACA